Molecule: ribosomal RNA, 611 nt
Filed under: Nocardiopsis sp. ACA1
Lineage: Bacteria; Bacillati; Actinomycetota; Actinomycetes; Streptosporangiales; Nocardiopsidaceae
Description: bacterial SSU rRNA
Rfam family: Bacterial small subunit ribosomal RNA
Source: RNAcentral
ACGGGUAGCCGGCCUGAGAGGGCGACCGGCCACACUGGGACUGAGACACGGCCCAGACUCCUGCGGGAGGCAGCAGUGGGGAAUAUUGCGCAAUGGGCGAAAGCCUGACGCAGCGACGCCGCGUGGGGGAUGACGGCCUUCGGGUUGUAAACCUCUUUUACCACCAACGCAGGCUCGGAGUUUUCUUCGGGUUGACGGUAGGUGGGGAAUAAGGACCGGCUAACUACGUGCCAGCAGCCGCGGUAAUACGUAGGGUCCGAGCGUUGUCCGGAAUUAUUGGGCGUAAAGAGCUCGUAGGCGGCGUGUCGCGUCUGCUGUGAAAGACCGGGGCUUAACUCCGGUUCUGCAGUGGAUACGGGCAUGCUAGAGGUAGGUAGGGGAGACUGGAAUUCCUGGUGUAGCGGUGAAAUGCGCAGAUAUCAGGAGGAACACCGGUGGCGAAGGCGGGUCUCUGGGCCUUACCUGACGCUGAGGAGCGAAAGCAUGGGGAGCGAACAGGAUUAGAUACCCUGGUAGUCCAUGCCGUAAACGUUGGGCGCUAGGUGUGGGGACUUUCCACGGUUUCCGCGCCGUAGCUAACGCAUUAAGCGCCCCGCCUGGGGAGUACGGAA